Molecule: ribosomal RNA, 971 nt
Filed under: uncultured bacterium
Lineage: Bacteria
Description: bacterial SSU rRNA
Rfam family: Bacterial small subunit ribosomal RNA
Source: RNAcentral
AGAGUUUGAUCAUGGCUCAGAAUCAACGCUGGCGGCGUGCCUCAGACAUGCAAGUCGAACGCGAAAGCCCCCUUCGGGGGGCAAGUAGAGUGGCGCACGGGUGAGUAACACGUAGGUAAUCUACCUUUGGAUGGGGAAUAACAACCGGAAACGGUUGCUAAUACCGCAUAAUGCAGCGGCACCUAAUGGUGACAGUUGUUAAAGCGGGGGAUCGUAAGACCUCGCGUCUGAAGAGGAGCCUGCGGCAGAUUAGCUAGUUGGUAAGGUAAAGGCUUACCAAGGCGAUGAUCUGUAGCCGGCCUGAGAGGGCGGUCGGCCACACUGACACUGACAUACGGGUCAGACUCCUACGGGAGGCAGCAGUCGGGAAUUUUGGGCAAUGGGCGAAAGCCUGACCCAGCAACGCCGCGUGAAGGAUGAAAUCCCUCGGGAUGUAAACUUCGCAAGAACGGGAAGAAUAAGUAAGAGCUAACAUCUCUUACGAUGACGGUACUGUUUGUAAGCUCCGGCUAACUCCGUGCCAGCAGCCGCGGUAAUACGGGGGGAGCAAGCGUUGUUCGGAUUUACUGGGCGUAAAGGGCGCGUAGGCGGCCACCGCAAGUCGACUGUGAAAUCUCCGGGCUUAACUCGGAAAGGUCAGCCGAUACUGCGGGGCUAGAGUGCAGAAGGGGCAACUGGAAUUCUCGGUGUAGCGGUGAAAUGCGUAGAUAUCGAGAGGAACACCUGCGGCGAAAGCGGGUUGCUGGGCUGACACUGACGCUGAGGCGCGAAAGCUAGGGGAGCGAACGGGAUUAGAUACCCCGGUAGUCCUAGCCUUAAACGAUGAAUGCUUGGUGUCUGGGGUUUUAUAGUCCCCGGGUGCCGUCGCUAACGCUUUAAGCAUUCCGCCUGGGGAGUACGGUCGCAGACUGAAACUCAAAGGAUUGACGGGGACCCGCACAAGCGGUGGAGCAUGGUGGUUUAAUUCGACG